GGGGAUGUGGCUCAGUAGCAAAGCAUAUGUUUAACAUGCAUGAGCCCCUGGGUUCAAUCCCCAGCACCA
RNAcentral lists this transfer RNA (69 nucleotides) under Marmota monax (woodchuck). It matches the Rfam family "tRNA". Rfam says of the family: Transfer RNA (tRNA) molecules are approximately 80 nucleotides in length. Lineage: Eukaryota; Metazoa; Chordata; Mammalia; Rodentia; Sciuridae. The record is from Rfam by way of RNAcentral. RNAcentral also lists the same sequence under 3 other names.